UACGAAGGGGGCUAGCGUUGUUCGGAAUUACUGGGCGUAAAGGGCUCGUAGGUGGCCAACUAAGUCAGACGUGAAAGCCCCGGGCUCAACCUGGGAGGUGCGCGCGAAACGGGGGGGCUUGAGUUCGGGAGAGGAGAGUGGAAUUCCCAGUGUAGAGGUGAAAUUCGUAGAUAUUGGGAAGAACACCGGUGGCGAAGGCGGGUCUCUGGGCCGUAACUGACGCUGAGGAGCGAAAGCAUGGGGAGCGAACAGG
Molecule: ribosomal RNA, 253 nt
Filed under: uncultured bacterium
Lineage: Bacteria
Description: partial 16S ribosomal RNA
Rfam family: Bacterial small subunit ribosomal RNA
Source: RNAcentral